This 443-nucleotide ribosomal RNA is filed under the name uncultured bacterium. RNAcentral's name for it is "partial 16S ribosomal RNA". It matches the Rfam family "Bacterial small subunit ribosomal RNA", at positions 338 to 795 of the family's 1533-position model. The record is from RNAcentral.
CCUACGGGAGGCAGCAGUGGGGAAUAUUGGGCAAUGGGCGCAAGCCUGACCCAGCAACGCCGCGUGAAGGAAGAAGGCUUUCCGGUUGUAAACUUCUUUUCUUAGGGACGAAGAAUGUGACGGUACCUCAGUAAUAAGCCACGUCUAACUACGUGCCAGCAGCCGCGGUAAUACGUAGGUGGCAAGCGUUAUCCGGAUUUAUUGGGUGUAAAGGGCGUGUAGGCGGGAAAGUAAGUCAGAUGUGAAAACUCAGGGCUCAACCCUGAGCCUGCAUUUGAAACUGGUUUUCUUGAGUGCUGGAGAGGCAAUCGGAAUUCCGGGUGUAGCGGUGAAAUGCGUAGAUAUACCGAGGAACACCGGUGGCGAAGGCAGAUUGCUAGACAGUAACUGACGCUGAGGCGCGAAAGCGUGGGGAGCAAACAGGAUUAGAUACCCUUGUAGUC